This 74-nucleotide transfer RNA is filed under the name Thalassomonas actiniarum. It matches the Rfam family "tRNA". Rfam says of the family: Transfer RNA (tRNA) molecules are approximately 80 nucleotides in length. Their secondary structure includes four short double-helical elements and three loops (D, anti-codon, and T loops). The record is from Rfam by way of RNAcentral. Lineage: Bacteria; Pseudomonadati; Pseudomonadota; Gammaproteobacteria; Alteromonadales; Colwelliaceae.
GGCCCGUUAGCAUAACUGGUUAAUGCCCUCGCCUCAUAAGCGAGCCGAUGGCAGUUCGAAUCUGCCACGGGUCA